GACGAACGCUGGCGGCGUGCCUAAUACAUGCAAGUUGAGCGCUGAAGGUUGGUACUUGUACCAACUGGAUGAGCAGCGAACGGGUGAGUAACGCGUGGGGAAUCUGCCUUUGAGCGGGGGACAACAUUUGGAAACGAAUGCUAAUACCGCAUAAAAACUUUAAACACAAGUUUUAAGUUUGAAAGAUGCAAUUGCAUCACUCAAAGAUGAUCCCGCGUUGUAUUAGCUAGAUGGUGAGGUAAAGACUCACCAAGGCGAUGAUACAUAGCCGACCUGAGAGGGUGAUCUGCCACAUUGGGACUGAGACACGGCCCAAACUCCCACGGGAGGCAGCAGUAGGGAAUCUUCGGCAAUGGACGAAAGUCUGACCGAGCAACGCCGCGUGAGUGAAGAAGGUUUUCGGAUCGUAAAACUCUGUUGGUAGAGAAGAACGUUGGUGAGAGUGGAAAGCUCAUCAAGUGACGGUAACUACCCAGAAAGGGACGGCUAACUACGUG
RNAcentral lists this ribosomal RNA (497 nucleotides) under uncultured bacterium. RNAcentral's name for it is "partial 16S ribosomal RNA". It matches the Rfam family "Bacterial small subunit ribosomal RNA", at positions 28 to 507 of the family's 1533-position model. The record is from RNAcentral.